GAGCUCUUUCCCGGCUGGAACCAUGGAGGUUGCAGAAGAGAAGAAAAAGAAGGUUCCUGCUGUGCCAGAAACCCGUAAGAAAAAGCGGAAGAAUUUCGCAGAGCUUAAGAUCAAGCGACUGAGAAAGAAGUUUGCCCAAAAGAUGCUUCGAAAGGCAAGGAGGAAGCUUAUCUAUGAAAAAGCUAAGCAUUACCACAAGGAAUACAGGCAGAUGUACAGAACUGAAAUUCGAAUGGCUAGGAUGGCACGAAAAGCCGGCAACUUCUAUGUACCCGCGGAACCCAAAUUGGUGUUUGUCAUCAGGAUCAGAGGUAUCAACAGUGUGAGCCCAAAGGUUCGAAAGGUGCUGCAGCUCCUUCGCCUCCGCCAGAUCUUCAACGGCACCUUUGUGAAGCUCAACAAGGCAUCAAUUAAUAUGCUGAGAAUUGUGGAGCCAUACAUUUCGUGGGGGUACCCAAAUCUGAAGUCUGUAAAUGAAUUGAUCUACAAGCGUGGUUAUGGCAAAAUCAGCAAAAAGCGAAUUGCCCUGACAGACAAUGCAUUGAUUGCUCGAUCUCUUGGGAAAUAUGGAAUCAUCUGCAUGGAGGAUCUGAUUCAUGAGAUCUAUACCGUUGGAAAACGUUUCAAAGAAGCAAACAACUUCCUGUGGCCCUUUAAAUUGUCUUCUCCACGAGGUGGAAUGAAGAAAAAGACCACCCAUUUUGUAGAAGGUGGAGAUGCUGGCAGCAGGGAAGACCAGCUCAACAGGCUUAUUAGAAGGAUGAACUAAGGUAUCUACCAGGAUUAUUUUUGCGUUCUGGUUAAUAAACAAUUGAAACAAAUUGAAAUGUACUGUCUUGGUUGACUUUUAUCUUUCCUUUGCAAAUCUUGGUGCGACAAGAUUAAGUCAAAUCAACAGCCUGGCCUCUUGGAUGCAAAACUUAGGGUCCAGCCUGUGUCUUGUGAAAAACAUUCCUUGGGUUUAUUGAAGAUUUUCCUGUACAAAAAAAAUCCUGAUUUUCCAUUUUCAGUUGGCCAAACUGGGUCUAAUCUAAGAAAGCCUAUUUCAUAGGCCUUUGUGCAUGAUGAAAAGUUCAGUUUACAGAUUAAAAAUGUUGCAGAAAUUCAA
Capra hircus (goat) is the source of this 1108-nucleotide RNA transcript. It is a transcript of the gene named 60S ribosomal protein L7 pseudogene, with no coding region annotated. Lineage: Eukaryota; Metazoa; Chordata; Mammalia; Artiodactyla; Bovidae. The record is from RefSeq and is a predicted model, not a curated record. The transcript has a single exon.